RNAcentral lists this long non-coding RNA (2285 nucleotides) under Phoenix dactylifera (date palm). RNAcentral's name for it is "long non-coding RNA (PDAC_LNC000253)". Lineage: Eukaryota; Viridiplantae; Streptophyta; Magnoliopsida; Arecales; Arecaceae. The record is from RNAcentral.
UCUUGAUAUUCUAUUGCUUUGUGCUUUGAAGGGAAAAUUUCUCAAGAGGUGCAAUGAUAUGCUGUUGUGCCGACAUUUUAAUGAAAACCUGCAUUUUCUGUAGAAAGAGAGACCAAAUGAAAUGAUGUGAAGUUUAUACCAAAAAAAACUGCUGCUACUAGUGCAUGGAUUGUCGUAUUAUCAGAAGUCAAAAUUAGUUCCCUGUCUUAAUUUUUCAACAGCUGGAACUAUUAGUGUUGCCAUUAUUGUUAUCAUUGGAAGUUGGGAACCUGGCUUUUAGUUUGUGCACUAGCAUUAGGACCAGGUGUUGGGAACUUAACCUUAAUAAUGGCUGUCAUUGCUGUCCACAGUCCCAGAGAAUUUGAUAAUCUAGUCUGACUCAUUUGGGAAAAUAUAUUUUGCUUCUAUUCUGUUGCCAAACUAGCAUGAUGAUGUCAGAGAUCUAUUUCAUUACAAGGGAUGAUUUGUUUGUGAAACUUUAAGUACAAUUUUCUUGCAUGUUUGUAAGUAUAUCUAUGAGACUGAUACUGUAGAAUUAUUUAAAGAUUCUAGUUGCCUUUUUCUUUUUUUCUUUUUAUAAAAAAUUAUAUAGGUUUCCUGUACAAUAUUAGCCUGCUGGUUUAUUGGAGUUUGCUUCUAAUUGUAGCUUGUUAUUUUUUUGUCAUCUUUACAGCAGAUGGUUCCUCAUACCAAUGUUGUGUCUGAGGAUGACUACAUUUUUUUGUUGCCCUUCCUAGUAAUUUGGUGCAAUAAAUAUAUUCUUGUUAUUCUAUUGCUUUGUGCUUUGGGGAGAAAUUUCUUGAAAGGUGUGAUCAUAUGCUGUUGUGGGAUUAUUUUAGUGAAAACCCUACAUUAUCUGAGGAAAGAAUUCUAAUGAAAUUAUGUGAAGCUUAUACUACAGAAAAACUGUUGCUGUGCUAGUACAAGGAUUGCCUUAUUAUCAGAAGUCGAAAUUAGUUUGCAGUCUUGGUUAAUUUUUCAAGGACUGGAACCAAUAUUGUUUGGCAUUAUUGUUACUGUGGGAGGUUUGAAAACUUGCUUUAACUUUCGAGAAGUAACAUUAACUCCAGAUUUUUGGAACUUAACCAUAAUAAUGAAGCGUGUACUAAAAUUUAAAGAUCAAAAAAUGUAAUAAAAGAAAUGAAAGAAAUGCACAAUUUUUGUUAUUGCUGUCCGCACUCCCCAGAGAAUUAAAUCUCUUACUCUUAGUCUGACUCUAUUGGGAAAAUCUAUUUUAUUUCUAUUCUGUUACCAACCUAGCAUGGUGAUGUCAGAGAUCUAUUUCGUCCCAAGAGAGAGUUUGUUUGGGAAAGUUAUAAGUGCAAUUUUCUUGCAUGUUAGUAGUUACGUCUGUGAGACUGAUAGUGUAGAAUUCUUCAAAGAUUCUACUUGCCUUUUCUUGUUGCUUUGUGUUUUUUUCUUGAACUUAUAUAGGUUAGCUUGUACAGUAUUGGCAUGUGUUUUUUUCCCAAAAAACAAGUUCUAUGCAUAUAUAUUUAUGUUUGCAGUGGAAUUAGCUUUAAAUUUAUAUGACCAUGUAUAUCAUGCCUUGUUAUUUAUUUUGUAUGAUGUCCCAUAUUCCUCAUUUUUGGAACUUCUUGUGUUCCAUUUUACAAUUACUGUUUGAGGUAUUUUUGUCCCAACAAUGUAUUUAAUUUAUUCAUCUUCAUGUAUUUCUGCCCUAAACAUUUCAUUAUAUUUACUGGUUCACUUUCAUGUGUCAGUUCCUCUAGGUUUAUCAUCCAUCUGGUUGUUUGAGGGUUUGUCAUCUAUCAAGCAAAUAGGUCAUUGAAUACCAACUUUGUGUGGGAAGACGACUAUAUCAACAUUGCCAUGUAUACGAACAAGGCUAGCUUCAUGGAAUUAAACUAGCUAGCUUUCAUGUAAUAAGUCUGUUUUGGCAACAUGCUCACUGGUUUAUCCAAUUCUCCGCUUUCUUAAAACAUGUCCUAUUUCUCGUAGAUUUUUACUCUGCAUUUUUUUCAUCUUGUUUUUUCCAUAUUCCUACCAUGGGUUAGUUGUCUCAGUUGGAUCUAAGUCCAAAUCCUAUCACAGAAACUACAUGAUGGACUAGUUGAGAAUGCUAACUGUUAGUCAACCUGCAACUUAAAGUGGCUGAAAAAUCAGAGACAUGUUUUGGAAUCUCUUAUUGAUGCAUCAAGUGGUUAAAAAAUGAUAUGCUUAUAAUUUGAAACGUGGUAACAUGAUGUGGUUUGAUGUAAUUAACUGAACAUCAUAAUAAAUUUUUUUUCUAUCUUGAUCAUGCAAUCUCUGUUGACUCUGAU